This 253-nucleotide ribosomal RNA is filed under the name uncultured bacterium. RNAcentral describes it as "partial 16S ribosomal RNA". It matches the Rfam family "Bacterial small subunit ribosomal RNA", at positions 524 to 776 of the family's 1533-position model. The record is from RNAcentral.
GACGAACCGAGCGAACGUUGUUCGGAAUCACUGGGCUUAAAGGGCGCGUAGGCGGGCUGCCAAGUCCGUGGUGAAAUCCCCCGGCUCAACCGGGGAAGGGCCUCGGAUACUGGCGGCCUCGAGGGGGGUAGGGGCGUGCGGAACUGUGGGUGGAGCGGUGAAAUGCGUUGAUAUCCACAGGAACUCCGGUGGCGAAGGCGGCACGCUGGACCCCAUCUGACGCUGAGGCGCGAAAGCCAGUGGAGCGAACGGG